AAAAGAGGGAAAAAGAAGCAAAAAUUGACAAAGGCUGCUAAGAGCAAAAAUAUUGUAGAUUAAUUAAAAAUUGAGAGAAAUCUUAUCUUCUAGCUGUUCCCUCAGGAUGAGGAAAAAUAUUCAACGAAUAAUAUAAAAGGAGUCUUUGUUUUACACUAUUUUCAAUGAUUUCAACCAAGAUUUCAACGAAACAAGAAAGUAAACAUGUUCAGUUUGUGUCCUUUAUAAUGCUAUCGAGCAUAGGUUGAGCACGAAUUCACCAAUCAUAGAUUACUCAACAGUCAUCCUCUGUUGCAAUUGGUGCGUUGUAGCGAAAGCGACUUCAAGAGGUUUCUGCUGAAAAUCAGUAGUGCGCAGUAUACGUCAAAUUUUGGCUCGAAACCUCGAAACGUUUGAGACGGCGCGUGUGGUGCGGGCACGUGUGAGGGUAACGUUAAAUAAUUACCCACGCCAACGUUAUUAGUGUGAUACGUUCUGAGAUUUUUGCCCAAGAUUUUCACGUCCUUAUCAAGAACCCAGGAUGUCGAUUGGUGUUCCCAUAAAAGUUCUUCAUGAGGCUGAAGGUCACAUCGUCACGUUGGAGAGCAAUACCGGCGAAGUUUACCGAGGGAAGUUGAUCGAAGCCGAAGACAAUAUGAACUGUCAAAUGUCCAAUAUUACAGUCACCUAUCGAGAUGGGAGAGUCGCCCAACUAGAGAACAUUUACAUCAGAGGGUCCAAAGUUCGGUUUCUUAUCUUACCUGACAUGCUGAAGAAUGCUCCAAUGUUCAAGAACUUCAAGGGCCAAAAAGGACCCACCGGUGGUGCUGGAAGAGGAAAGUCAGCAAUUCUCAGAGCACAAGCGGCUCGAGGCCGCGGCCGAUCGGGCGGCUUCCGCGGCCGAGGCGGCUGGGGCGGAGGUCGGCGGAAGUAGUCGUCUCGUCUCAUCAUCCCCGGCUCGGCAGCGGACCGGCGCCGCCCGCAGGUGGGCGCCCUGUGAGACUCACCGCACCACCGCGGCUCCACUCUGCCACCAACGCGCGCGUCCACUCUGUCUUAUAUUUCAUGUCGCGUCUCAAUACAGAAGUCAUUUGUCACA
Molecule: long non-coding RNA, 1078 nt
Organism: Amphibalanus amphitrite
Lineage: Eukaryota; Metazoa; Arthropoda; Thecostraca; Balanomorpha; Balanidae
Exons: 3
Source: RefSeq, a predicted model, not a curated record